This 450-nucleotide ribosomal RNA is filed under the name uncultured bacterium. RNAcentral describes it as "partial 16S ribosomal RNA". It matches the Rfam family "Bacterial small subunit ribosomal RNA", at positions 354 to 796 of the family's 1533-position model. The record is from RNAcentral.
GUGGGGAAUUUUGGACAAUGGGCGCAAGCCUGAUCCAGCAAUGCCGCGUGCAGGAAGAAGGCCUUCGGGUUGUAAACUGCUUUUGUACGGAACGAAACGGUCCUGGUUAAUACCUGGGGCUAAUGACGGUACCGUAAGAAUAAGCACCGGCUAACUACGUGCCAGCAGCCGCGGUAAUACGUAGGGUGCGAGCGUUAAUCGGAAUUACUGGGCGUAAAGCGUGCGCAGGCGGUGCUGUAAGACAGGCGUGAAAUCCCCGGGCUCAACCUGGGAAUUGCGCUUGGGACUGCAGUGCUGGAGUACGGCAGAGGGGGAUGGAAUUCCGCGUGUAGCAGUGAAAUGCGUGGAUAUGCGGAGGAACACCGAUGGCGAAGGCAGUCCCCUGGGCCUGUACUGACGCUCAUGCACGAAAGCGUGGGGAGCAAACAGGAUUAGAAACCCCUGUAGUCC